CCCUUAGAUGUCCUGGGCCGCACGCGCGUUACACUGAUGCAUUCAACGAGCUUAUAACCUUGGCCGAGAGGCCUGGGCAAUCUUGUUAACGUGCAUCGUGAUAGGGAUAGAUUAUUGAAAUUAUUAAUCUUGAACGAGGAAUUCCUAGUAAACGCAGAUCAUCAAUCUGCAUUGAUUACGUCCCUGCCCUUUGUACACACCGCCCGUCGCUCCUACCGAUUGAAUGGUCCGGUGAAAAUUUCGGAUACCGGCAUUGCUGGCGGUUCGCCGCCGGCGACGCUGGUAGAAGAUCUUUAAACCUUAUCAUUUAGAGGAAGGAGAAGUCGUAACA
This 331-nucleotide ribosomal RNA is filed under the name uncultured eukaryote. RNAcentral's name for it is "partial 18S ribosomal RNA". It matches the Rfam family "Eukaryotic small subunit ribosomal RNA", at positions 1470 to 1796 of the family's 1831-position model. The record is from RNAcentral.